Molecule: ribosomal RNA, 449 nt
Filed under: uncultured bacterium
Lineage: Bacteria
Description: partial 16S ribosomal RNA
Rfam family: Bacterial small subunit ribosomal RNA
Source: RNAcentral
AACGAACGCUGGCGGCAUGCCUAACACAUGCAAGUCGAACGAAGCCUUCGGGCUUAGUGGCGCACGGGUGCGUAACGCGUGGGAAUCUGCCCUUUGGUUCGGAAUAACAGUUGGAAACGACUGCUAAUACCGGAUGAUGACGAAAGUCCAAAGAUUUAUCGCCAGAGGAUGAGCCCGCGUAGGAUUAGCUAGUUGGUGUGGUAAAGGCGCACCAAGGCGACGAUCCUUAGCUGGUGUGAGAGGAUGAUCAGCCACACUGGGACUGAGACACGGCCCAGACUCCUACGGGAGGAAGCAGUGGGGAAUAGUGGACAAUGGGCGAAAGCCUGAUCCGGCAAUGCCGCGUGAGUGAUGAAGGCCCUAGGGUUGUAAAGCUCUUUUACCCGGGAUGAUAAUGACAGUACCGGGAGAAUAAGCCCCGGCUAACUCCGUGCCAGCCGCCGCGGUAA